AUGCUGCGCCGCGUCGCGCCGCCGCUCCGCCGAGCCCUCGCCUCCUCCGCCGUCCCGCACCGCGGAGGCGCGCGCCUUCCCGACCCGGGCCUCUCGUCUCCCCACGCCCUACCCCCGCAAUGGCGCCGCUGGGCUUCCGCCGCCGCCGCUUCCUCGCUCCCGCCGCCUCCGCCGUCUCCUCCCCAGGGCCCGCCGCGGCACGCGGGCGGGGGAUCCGCCGCGUCGUCGCUGAACCCCGCCGAGGUGGCCAAGUUCGCCGCCAUCGCCGAGACCUGGUGGGAUUCUCAAGGUCCAUUCAAACCAUUGCAUUUGAUGAAUCCGACAAGGCUGUCUUUUAUCCGCUCCACACUCUGUAGACAUUUCAGGAGGGAUCCAUAUUCAGCUAAGCCACUCGAAGGUCUUAAAGUUAUUGAUGUUGGAUGUGGAGGUGGCAUUCUCUCAGAGCCUCUUGUUCGGAUGGGAGCUACAGUUACUGGUAUUGAUGCUGUUGACAAGAAUAUAAAGAUUGCGCACAUUCAUGCCGCAUCUGAUCCAACAACUGCUUCCAUUGAGUAUUGCUGCACAACCGCUGAGGAUUUGGUAAAAGAGAACAAGCAAUUUGAUGCUGUAAUUUCUCUUGAGGUGAUUGAGCAUGUUGCCAAUCCUUUGGAGUUCUGCCAAUCUCUAUCAGCUUUGACAGUUCCUAAUGGUGCCACUGUGAUUUCUACAAUCAACCGGUCAAUGAGAGCAUAUGCGGCUGCCAUUGUUGGUGCUGAAUAUAUUCUCAGAUGGCUUCCUAUAGGCACACAUGAGUGGUCCAAACUAGUCACCCCCGAGGAGCUAGUCCUAGCACUGCAACGAGCCUCAAUCUCCGUGGAGGAAAUGGCAGGGUUCUUCUACAAUCCGUUGACCAGAGAGUGGUCCCUGUCUGAUGAUACUAGUAUAAACUACAUUGCUUACGGCAUCAAGAAAAGCGAAGCACCCUCGGCGACGCCACAGUAG
RNAcentral lists this ribosomal RNA (981 nucleotides) under Triticum aestivum (bread wheat). Its description in RNAcentral is "partial small subunit ribosomal RNA". The record is from RNAcentral. Lineage: Eukaryota; Viridiplantae; Streptophyta; Magnoliopsida; Poales; Poaceae.